Non-coding RNA from Salvia hispanica, 685 nucleotides. The record is from RefSeq and is a predicted model, not a curated record. Lineage: Eukaryota; Viridiplantae; Streptophyta; Magnoliopsida; Lamiales; Lamiaceae.
UUGAUCCCGAAGACUUUCCUUGAUUAUAAUUGUGGAAAGAAGAAAAUAAUUAAAUAAAUAAAAAUUGGCAAAGAUUUCUCCUCCUCCAUCUUAACGCGUCUUCUUCUUCCUCCCCUCCCCUGAUAUGCAAAUCCUUUUCCUAAAUUAAACCACCAAUCAGCCUUUAAUUCCAAUUAUUUGAGAAUCAAUUGCCACAAAUUUCUCUUAUAAAACCUAGUCUUCAUACCCUAAUCUCCCACCGGCGCUCUCACUCACGUAACAAAAUUCUUUCACAAUCUCAAAUACUCCAACUGUGAGAAAUACGACAGAGAGAAAGAGAGCAGCGAAGAAGACGAACUAUCCGACGCCUUCAUCUCCUUCCCACUCUAAAUUCCGAAACUUGAAGGGGAGAAAAGAACAGGAACAACAACUCUUUCAUUCACUAAUCUGCAUCAUGUACAGACGGUCUGCCGGAGCGGCGAUGUAGCGACCGCUGCAGCGCCGAACGUCUUGGAUCAGGCGAAUGCCCGGCGAGAUCUUGUUCGACGACGGCGGCUGUUUCUCAGUUGUGUAUUCUUAAAUUUGGGAGUUUGUUAUAAACUGUGAUGGGAGUUUACGUGUAUGUUGGGAAUGGGGGUGUACUUUUUAUUCUUUAUUAAAUUCAUUUUACUUUUAUAUUGUAAAGGGAUGUGGUUUGUUAAAUUAA